CCCUUUAUUUUUGUAUCUCUCCUCUGUUGCCUGUGUAGCAGAUAAAUUAGUUGGCCAGUGUAAUUCAGUUAUCAAAAGAUGAAAAAUAAAGAAUCAAGACUAGUUACAUGAAAUCCAUCAGUUUGAUUUGUCAACAACUUUUUUCGUUACUCAUUCGACCAACUUAGAACAUUGGGAACUUAUUCCAAUUUUGUUUACUACAUAUUAUCUAAAUCCAAGAAGCUACAAGAGUUAACUUAUUUGGAACAAAAGCUAGAACUUGCUUCAUAACCUAAUAUUUGACCAACGCAAAACUAUAAGGAACCUAUUUGAAGUUUGUCUGCACCGCACAUCAUCCAAGGUCAUACUUGUUUAAUCCAUCCUUCCACCAAAUCAUUUGUCUACACCUGAUUAUUCAUUGCGCCACCAUGCCGUUCACUUAGAUAACAAAAGAAGAAUAGUCUAUAGACAUAUAUCUAACGUUUGUAUCUUACUCUUAGAGUUGGAGAAGAAACCAAUUAUAUCAAUCAGCUAACUAUUAGACUUCAGUUAACAACACAUGUCAAUGUCAUUGACUGUUCAACAAAGAAAUAUCACAUUCACAUGCCCAACCAAACCUGUUACGAACCUAUAUAACAAAAAAAUCCUGUGUCUUUCCAUUACCAAAACCCUACAGAAAUAUUAAGAACUCAUCAGAAAAAUUUUGGUUAUUCAAACAUGACAUUCUACAUUCAAACCAGUGAGAAAUCUACAAAAAUUUUGCAAAUAACCAACUAUGACCCCAGAAACAUACUUGUUUUCAAAGCUCAAACCCAGAUCCAAAUAAUAAAGUCCAAAACAAAUAUUGGAUACAAAUCUCAACGAAAAAGGAAAGCUUCAUUUUCAUGUGAAUGUAUUAUAAUGGAAACAUAGACAUCAAACUUUUCCAGCUCUGAUAUCCCAUAUUGGCCUGAGGCAAACUAUAUGUAGAGGACACAAACAUACAUGUAAACUAGACUAUACAAAUAUCAAAUCUUUUACACAUAAGGAAAACACCAUCCUUGGUGCUAAGCCAAAGGAUGCAAAACGCUUAUCUUCCCAUGUAAAAUAUCAAGGAGAUGCAUAUGAAAUCUGAAAAGAGUACAGUAUCAAAAAGAAGAAUUCAAGGAAACCUGAAAUUGUGGGUAGUCUGGUG
This 1153-nucleotide unclassified non-coding RNA is filed under the name Hevea brasiliensis (rubber tree). The record is from RNAcentral. Lineage: Eukaryota; Viridiplantae; Streptophyta; Magnoliopsida; Malpighiales; Euphorbiaceae.